Molecule: unclassified non-coding RNA, 211 nt
Filed under: Hevea brasiliensis (rubber tree)
Lineage: Eukaryota; Viridiplantae; Streptophyta; Magnoliopsida; Malpighiales; Euphorbiaceae
Source: RNAcentral
AAAAUAACUAUGCUGUGGAAUGUACAAAUGCUUAUGUGAAAUGCGAAUUCUUAAUUUAGAACAUAAUAUUCAGAAACCCAAAAAUAUAAAUCUGACUUUUUAAAGCAAUCCACAUCUUGACAACAACACAUCUUAGCAUCAGAUUUGAUUUCCUACCAGAAAUUAACCAUCAGAUUUGAUCUCUAUUCACAGAAACUAUAUGAAAAUCAAA